GGGGGCGCAAUGGUUUCGACGGGGGCAAGUUGCUCCUGGGAAGCGAGUCGAAGGGAUCCUGUACCUGCGUUAAAAAACUGGGAACUUAAAUAUAAUUGCAAACGAUAAUUUUGCAUUAGCUGCCUAAUAGUUGCAGCUCGUCAGCCUAAGAGUCCCACGACUUAGGGUCUGGCGUCGACAGUGGGGAACCGAGCCUUACAAAGCUUUGAGUAAGGAACGGAAUUAAUGAAGCUACUGAAUCUAAGAGCCUGUUUAUUGGCGCUUAGAGGAGGGAAUGUAAAAGGAUAAACUGCACUCGGAGAUGCCCAGGGGUUGCUGCUUUCGGACAGGGGUUCGAUUCCCCUCGCCUCCACCA
RNAcentral lists this transfer-messenger RNA (355 nucleotides) under Clostridium botulinum. It matches the Rfam family "transfer-messenger RNA". Rfam says of the family: Bacterial tmRNA, also known as 10Sa RNA or SsrA, is named for its dual tRNA and mRNA-like properties. Its role is to liberate the mRNA from a stalled ribosome. To accomplish this part of the tmRNA is used as a reading frame that ends in a translation stop signal. Lineage: Bacteria; Bacillati; Bacillota; Clostridia; Eubacteriales; Clostridiaceae. RNAcentral also lists the same sequence under 1 other name. The record is from RNAcentral.